AUACGUAGGUGACAAGCGUUAUCCGGAUUUACUGGGCGUAAAGGGCGUGUAGGCGGUCUUGCAAGUCAGAAGUGAAAUUCCUGAGCUCAACUCGGGCGCUGCUUCUGAAACUGCAGGACUUGAGUGCCGGAGGGGAUAGCGGAAUUCCUAGUGGAGCGGUAAAAUGCGCAGAUAUUAGGAAGAACACCGGUGGCGAAGGCGGCUAUCUGGACAGUAACUGACGCUGAGGCGCGAAAGCGUGGGGAGCAAACAGGAUUAGAUACCCUGGUAGUCCACGCUGUAAACGAUGAAUACUAGGUGUAGGGGGUAUCGACUCCCUCUGUGCCGCAGUUAACACAAUAAGUAUUCCGCCUGGGGAGUACGGCCGCAAGGUUGAAACUCAAAUGAAUUGACGGGG
RNAcentral lists this ribosomal RNA (397 nucleotides) under uncultured bacterium. Its description in RNAcentral is "partial 16S ribosomal RNA". It matches the Rfam family "Bacterial small subunit ribosomal RNA", at positions 523 to 918 of the family's 1533-position model. The record is from RNAcentral.